This 440-nucleotide ribosomal RNA is filed under the name uncultured bacterium. RNAcentral describes it as "partial 16S ribosomal RNA". It matches the Rfam family "Bacterial small subunit ribosomal RNA", at positions 338 to 795 of the family's 1533-position model. The record is from RNAcentral.
CCUACGGGUGGCAGCAGUGGGGGAUAUUGCACAAUGGGGGGAACCCUGAUGCAGCGACGCCGCGUGGGUGAAGAAGCGCCUCGGCGCGUAAAGCCCUGUCAGCAGGGAAGAGAAUGACGGUACCUGAAGAAGAAGCCCCGGCUAACUACGUGCCAGCGGCCGCGGUAAUACGGAGGGGGCGAGCGUUAUCCGGAUUUACUGGGUGUAAAGGGGGCGCAGACGGGGUUGCAAGCCAGAUGUGAAAGCCCGGGGCCCAACCCCGGGACUGCAUUUGGAACUGGGUGGCUUGAGUGCCGGAGGGGCAGGCGGAAUUCCUGGUGUAGCGGUGAAAUGCGUAGAUAUCAGGAGGAACACCGGUGGCGAAGGCGGCCUGCUGGACUGCAACUGACGGUGAGGCGCGAAAGUGUGGGUAUCAAACAGGAUUAGAAACCCUAGUAGUC